Molecule: long non-coding RNA, 2034 nt
Filed under: Salmo salar (Atlantic salmon)
Lineage: Eukaryota; Metazoa; Chordata; Actinopteri; Salmoniformes; Salmonidae
Description: lncRNA (ENSSSAG00000116169.1)
Source: RNAcentral
CACUGAGCCAAUCACGGCGCAACUAGAGAAAAUUAAUAACACCUACGCUCUGUGCUCUCGCUGGCUGCCCCUCCACCACAGAAAUCACUGAGCUAGGCUGAAACGCCUCCAUGUUUCUAAACAGGUAGGGUGGGUCGCCACUGGCGUGCGCACAUAGGAGGUCCCGUGAAAAAUGUGCCCGCCUAUGGAAUUCAAAGGCCUGUCCAACUGAUUCGCCGGCCCUGCAACAUGGUGUCCCAUAUUAAGUACUACUGCUUGGAUAGAUAGGAGGUAUAGGGGUUGCAAGCAUACAGGUAUAGAUUCUGUACUGUAUCUAACUCUAUGAUUCCAAGUCAUUGCACUGAUUGUGCAACCCAAAGACACAUCAUGUGUCACACUGUCACACACUGUGAACAGACUGUGUGAAGCACCUUUUCUCCUCAUAGGCAGUACUCAAAUGAGUUGGACUUACGUUGUGUUGCUGAAGUUAUGUUGCUGAAUUGCGUCCAGGUUCUCUUCUUUCUCCCAAAGUGUGCACUUCUAUACUUUUUUUUCAUGGAUUUAGCAAUGGAAACUCCCUCCUUUCAAUGCUUACACCAAUCCUAUACUUUUCAAUUCAUGACAAGAAGUGCACACUUAGGGAGAAGGGUGAAGAAUUGGGACGUAGCCUUUGUGUGCUCUCUCAACCACCUCUAUGCUAACAAAAGAACAUACGGGAUACUCUACGGCAUGACAUUUAAUUCUAUUCAUAUUGAAGUCCCAUUCUGUCUCACUGAGUUCUUCUAUAUGACAUGUUGCAAGUGUGGAGGAAAUUAAUUUAUUACAUACUAUGCUGUUUAAUUAGACAUACUAUGCUGUUUUAUUUACUUAAAAAUUGUCCAUGGUUAAAUGCUAGUAUUAUUUGCUGUUACAAACUUGUCUUGUGUGACUUAGUCAUAAAUCCGAGCGUACAGAUUUAGGAGCCGUUUGGGUAUGACCUGUGUUUACAAUCGGCAGGAAUUUAGCUAUGUGGGAAUUGCAGGGAGGAACAUAGAAUGGUGGCGAUAUCGUUUAUCUUGAUCUGCACAGAUGAGCUAAACUACUUUUAACAACUCUGUUCACCUGCCGGCCCUGUUUAUGCACAUCUGCUAACUGUCACAUAGAUAAGAGGAUGUACUUUCUAUAAAAGGAGAGAGCCAACUGUUCAUUGGGCUUUCAACUCUGAACUAUUUGAGUAGUAUUAUUGAUUACUCCAUUGUUGCAAAUCUCAUUGUUGCAAAUCUUGCUGUUUGAAGAAAUCUACAGUCUCUCUUCAUUUGUUAGAAUUCCCAUCACAAUUUGGCAAAGACAUAGGAUGGCUAACUCCGUCUACUGAUCGUUCCCGGGGUGACCGAGGUUAUCUGCACACGGGCUGCGUUAGACGUGGCUCGGGGAGCCCACACUUAGCGGAGCAGAAAGGGACCUGCCUCGAACCCGGCAGGGAGCGUUAGUAAGAUGGAUAAGCCAUCCCGAACAUACAGAGUUAAGGGUGAGACUGAUUUUCUUUCAAACAUCAUAGAAAAUCCUGUUCUGGGAACAGAUUGUGCACUUUAGGUCUUUUGUUGGAGCAAAAGACACCCCUAGUUAGAAACUCAGUUAUUUCUAAUAGGGGAAGUCCUAUCAUUUUUAAUUAGGAACUCUGUUGCAGCAGAGAUAUCUUUAAUUAAAGGAGAAAUUCUGGGACGACUUGCCCUGUUGGAGCAGGGUAGGGGGGUUCUCUGUUGAGCACAGAAGCGGACAUGGGAUGACAUGACAUGGUUACGAGUUAUGUGAUCCCAGGGCACAAUCCUGAGAUAGAAGUUAGAAAAAUAUUCCUGCAGGUUAGAAAACAUUGUAAAAGAAAAUAAAUGAAUCAGUGGACUGGUAAAACAGUUGGUUAUGAUUGGGAAACCAGCUAUAAAUUUAAACCCUACACGGAUAUUUGCAUUGGAGGAACUGCCAUGUGGGUACAAAAUGUAAAAUUACAUAGAGUGAUUAAAAAAUAUUUUGAGGGAGUGUGUUUGUUUUUGUUUCCUGAGUGUGUGUGUGUGUGUGUGU